UGGGGAAUUUUGGACAAUGGGGGCAACCCUGAUCCAGCCAUGCCGCGUGCGGGAAGAAGGCCUUCGGGUUGUAAACCGCUUUUAGUCGGGAAGAAAAGGCGUCGCCUAAUACGCGGCGUUCUUGACGGUACCGGCGGAAUAAGCACCGGCUAACUACGUGCCAGCAGCCGCGGUAAUACGUAGGGUGCGAGCGUUAAUCGGAAUUACUGGGCGUAAAGCGUGCGCAGGCGGUUCGUUAAGUCUGAUGUGAAAGCCCCGGGCUCAACCUGGGAACUGCAUUGGAAACUGGCGGGCUUGAGUAUGGCAGAGGGGGGUGGAAUUCCGCGUGUAGCAGUGAAAUGCGUAGAGAUGCGGAGGAACACCGAUGGCGAAGGCAGCCCCCUGGGCCAAUACUGACGCUCAGGCACGAAAGCGUGGGGAGCAAACA
This 427-nucleotide ribosomal RNA is filed under the name uncultured beta proteobacterium. Its description in RNAcentral is "partial 16S ribosomal RNA". It matches the Rfam family "Bacterial small subunit ribosomal RNA", at positions 355 to 774 of the family's 1533-position model. The record is from RNAcentral. Lineage: Bacteria; Pseudomonadati; Pseudomonadota; Betaproteobacteria.